UUGACCUCGAAUCAGGUAGGGAUACCCGCUGAACUUAAGCAUAUCAAUAAGCGGAGGAAAAGAAACCAACCGGGAUUACCCUAGUAACGGCCAGGUGAAGCG
This 102-nucleotide ribosomal RNA is filed under the name Phyllactinia enkianthi. RNAcentral's name for it is "partial 28S ribosomal RNA". It matches the Rfam family "Eukaryotic large subunit ribosomal RNA", at positions 1 to 100 of the family's 3401-position model. The record is from RNAcentral. Lineage: Eukaryota; Fungi; Ascomycota; Leotiomycetes; Helotiales; Erysiphaceae.